Molecule: long non-coding RNA, 710 nt
Organism: Armigeres subalbatus
Lineage: Eukaryota; Metazoa; Arthropoda; Insecta; Diptera; Culicidae
Exons: 3
Source: RefSeq, a predicted model, not a curated record
UUUUGCAUAUUAUUUUACUCGAAGAUUGGCUGGAUUUAUUUGAGCGUGUAAGUUUUGUUUAUGAUUAGUGGAAUGAAAAAAUGAAACUGAUGUUGUGGUGCAGGAAGUGUCCCUUCCUAACGAAUUCUAAAAGUGGGCAAGCGGCGGAUCAUAGGAGGAAGUUUAUGGUAAGACCACGUAAGACAGAAUAUCGUUAUUAUUGGCCUAUCUUACCAAUUAGAUACAAUAAUAGCUGAUACAGGUUCACACAUAACCUGAUGUGUUAGAGACAACGACUAACUUCGAUUCACCCACUCAAGAAAAAACGUAUAUAAGUCUUAUAGGAGACAUAUCAAACUCCCUUUCCUGGUGGCUGAAAUUACAGCGUGCUCAGCGAGUAUAGCGAGGUGCAUCAUCGGCGCAUUUGAUUUUAACGUCAAUGCAUCAGUGACUAAGCAACAGCAAAGCGCCAAACAACAAUACUAACACAUUAAAUUUCGGAUUGAAUGAAAACUAAUUUGAAAUCGAUCAAAAACUGAAUUAAAACAAAAUUUAAAUUGAAUUCAAAUGAAAUUGAAAUAUAAUUAAAAUAAAUUGGAAUUAAAUUCAAAUUCAAAUUAUUGUUGAAUCACAUUGAAUUGAAAUUAAAGUAAAAUUAAGAUCAAACUUAUUGAACAUUAACCUUAUAUUAAAAUAAAAUUAAAUUGAAAUCAUAUCAAUAAAAUAAAUUG